This 484-nucleotide ribosomal RNA is filed under the name uncultured bacterium. RNAcentral's name for it is "partial 16S ribosomal RNA". It matches the Rfam family "Bacterial small subunit ribosomal RNA", at positions 30 to 507 of the family's 1533-position model. The record is from RNAcentral.
AUUGAACGCUGGCGGCAUGCUUUACACAUGCAAGUCGAACGGCAGCGCGGUCUUCGCCCUGGCGUCGAGUGGCGAACGGGUGAGUAAUACAUCGGAACGUGCCCAGCAGUUGGUGAUAGCUCGGCGAAAUCCGGAUUAAUACCGCAUACGACCUUAGGGUGAAAGCGGGGGAUCAUCGGACCUCGCGCUAUUGGAGCGGCCGAUGGCAGAUUAGCUAGUUGGUGGGGUAAAGGCCUACCAAGGCGACGAUCUGUAGCUGGUCUGAGAGGACGACCAGCCACACUGGAACUGAGACACGGCCCAGACUCCUACGGGAGGCAGCAGUGGGGAAUUUUGGACAAUGGGCGAAAGCCUGAUCCAGCAAUGCCGCGUGUGUGAUGAAGGCCUUCGGGUUGUAAAGCACUUUUGGCGGGAACGAAAAGGACUGUGCCAAUACCACGGUUCGAUGACGGUACCCGAAGAAUAAGCACCGGCUAACUACGUG